Molecule: ribosomal RNA, 501 nt
Filed under: uncultured bacterium
Lineage: Bacteria
Description: partial 16S ribosomal RNA
Rfam family: Bacterial small subunit ribosomal RNA
Source: RNAcentral
GACGAACGCUGGCGGCGUGCCUAAUACAUGCAAGUCGAACGAACCGCGACUAAGUGCUUGCACUAAGUCAAGGUGAGUGGCGAACGGGUGAGUAACACGUGGGUAACCUACCUCAUAGUGGGGGAUAACAGUCGGAAACGACUGCUAAUACCGCAUAGGACAUAGGAUCACAUGAUCCAGUGAGGAAAGGUGGCGCAAGCUAUCGCUAAGAGAUGGACCCGCGGUGCAUUAGCUAGUUGGUAGGGUAAAGGCCUACCAAGGCGAUGAUGCAUAGCCGACCUGAGAGGGUGAUCGGCCACAUUGGGACUGAGACGCGGCCCAAACUCCUACGGGAGGCAGCAGUAGGGAAUCUUCCGCAAUGGACGCAAGUCUGACGGAGCAACGCCGCGUGAGUGAAGAAGGUCUUCGGAUCGUAAAGCUCUGUUGUUAGAGAAGAACAGCGCAUAGAGUAACUGCUAUGCGUGUGACGGUAUCUAACCAGAAAGCCACGGCUAACUACGU